UGUACCUUCAAGCUCUGCUUGGUGUUGGGUGUUUGUCUCGCCUCUGCGUGUAGACUCGCCUCAAAACAAUAGGCAGCCGGCGUAUUGAUUUCGGAGCGCAGUACAUCUCGCGCUUUGCACUCAUAACGACUACUUCCAAAAGUACAUUUUUACACUC
Molecule: unclassified non-coding RNA, 157 nt
Filed under: Ampelomyces humuli
Lineage: Eukaryota; Fungi; Ascomycota; Dothideomycetes; Pleosporales; Phaeosphaeriaceae
Description: ITS2
Source: RNAcentral